RNAcentral lists this ribosomal RNA (396 nucleotides) under Triticum aestivum (bread wheat). Its description in RNAcentral is "partial small subunit ribosomal RNA". The record is from RNAcentral. Lineage: Eukaryota; Viridiplantae; Streptophyta; Magnoliopsida; Poales; Poaceae.
AUGGCGCCCACCGGCUUCUGCGACCUGCCGACGGAGGCCCUGGACGACAUCGCACGGCGCGCCGGUCCCCUCGACAACGUCGCCUGCCCGGCCGUCUGCCGGUCGUGGCGCCGCGCGCUCAAGACCACGCGCCUCCGCGUGCUCGAGCGCCCGAAGCUGCCGCACCACGUCUAUGUGGACCCUCGCUGCGAGUGCCCGACGUGGCGGCCGACCAUGCUUCACUGCGACUCCUGGGGGAGGGAGCCAUGGACCAAGAAGGUCUGCCUCUGCGCCAGGGAGUCCGACCAUCCCGUCGGCGUCGCCCUGGAUAGCAAGACCGACUCCGUGUACCCCACACGCAUCAUCGGCUCAUCCUACACGGCUGGGUGGUCACCGUCGACAAGGCGUGCAGCCUGA